This is a non-coding RNA of Thozetella sp. PMI_491, 106 nucleotides long. NCBI's taxonomy places the organism in Eukaryota, Fungi, Ascomycota, Sordariomycetes, Chaetosphaeriales, Chaetosphaeriaceae. The record is from the annotation of a GenBank genome assembly.
CCUAAACUGGUGUAAUGGUAUCAUGGCGGGUCGCACUUGGUUCAGUCCAGACUGAACCAAGCUCCUCUGGGGAUCGUCGUUUCGGGUUCGAUUCCCGAGUUUGGGA